This 431-nucleotide ribosomal RNA is filed under the name uncultured bacterium. RNAcentral describes it as "partial 16S ribosomal RNA". It matches the Rfam family "Bacterial small subunit ribosomal RNA", at positions 338 to 795 of the family's 1533-position model. The record is from RNAcentral.
CCUACGGGUGGCUGCAGUCGAGAAUCUUUCGCAAUGGGCGAAAGCCUGACGAAGCGACGCUGUGUGUGUGAUGAAGGCCUUAGGGUCGUAAAGCACUUUCGCCUGCGAACGAGUACCAGGUAAAGAAGCACCGGCUAACUACGUGCCAGCAGCUGCGGUAAUACGUAGGGUGCAAGCAUUAAUCGGAUUUAUUGGGCGUAAAGGGCGCGUAGGCGGGGGUGCCAGUCAAUUGUGAAAUCCCGGAGCUCAACUCCGGAACUGCAGUUGAAACUACAUCCCUAGAGGGUAGACGGAGAAAACGGAAUUCCACAAGUAGCGGUGAAAUGCGUAGAUAUGUGGAAGAACACCGGUGGCGAAGGCGGUUUUCUAGUUUACCUGACGCUGAGGCGCGAAAGCAAGGGGAGCAAACAGGAUUAGAUACCCUUGUAGUC